Eptesicus fuscus (big brown bat) is the source of this 845-nucleotide long non-coding RNA. RefSeq lists it as uncharacterized. The record is from RefSeq and is a predicted model, not a curated record. Lineage: Eukaryota; Metazoa; Chordata; Mammalia; Chiroptera; Vespertilionidae. The transcript has 3 exons.
GUCCCCCUCUGGCGGGAGCCCUGGCUGGGGCUGUGGGGGGCGGAGUCCACCGCGUCCCCUCCCACCCUGGGGGACCCCAGAUCAAAAAUCAAACACAGAACACCCCCAGCCUGGGUGUGGGACCCCACGGAGCCCCCUCCCACCUGCACCCCAGCCCAGACUCCGCCCCAGGUCCCUGCUGUCCUGUCUUUACGAAGCUGUUCAUUAAUAAUCGGCUCCAUUUCAAAGUCCAAGGACAUGUCUCCCUUCUGCCCACAAUUGUUACUUAAACUUUCCUUGUUGAAUAUUUUAUACUUUUUCUCCCAAACUUUGGAUUCCUCCCGGCCCCACAAAUCAGUCCUGGUCUGAGGUCGGGCACCCGGGACCGCGGCCCGCGAAGAGCGCGCCUGCCACCUGGUGGCCGUGAGGGGGUGAUGCAGCGGCCGGAAAGGACUUGCCUCUGAAUGCCCAGCGAGGCCCAAGCACAGGACAGGACAGGGCCACGCGGUCCGGCCCAGGGAGGCUGAGCCCAGGACGGUGACAUCGGGCCGACACGCCGGAGGAGGGUCUCCCGGCCGAGCGGCCGCCCUGAAUCUGACUCCCUGUGGAACGCACCCGGCUCUCCUCCCGUUGCUGUCCGUCAGCCAUUCCGCAGACAUUCACGAUCCCAAGGGGCUCCGGGGUUGAGCGUCGACCCAAGAACCUGGAGGUCACCGUCCGAUUCCCCGUCAGGGCACAUGCCCCGGUUGUGGGCUCCAUCGCCAGUAGGGGGCGUGCAGGAGGCGGCCUAUGGAUGAUGUUUCCCUCUCAUCAAUAUUUCUAUCUCUCUAUCCUUCUCCCUUCCUCUCUCUCUAAACAAAAUCAAU